RNAcentral lists this unclassified non-coding RNA (709 nucleotides) under Hevea brasiliensis (rubber tree). Lineage: Eukaryota; Viridiplantae; Streptophyta; Magnoliopsida; Malpighiales; Euphorbiaceae. The record is from RNAcentral.
GGAAAGUUUAAGAGGUCAAUUGAUCGUAAUCUGUUUCGCGUAUUUUGACUAGUUUGGUUCGAUUUUGGUUCUUCUUGACUUGUUUAUCUAAAAAUAGAUUCCUGAAAAUUUUUGAAGUUUGAAGUCUCGAAUUCUCAUAUUCAACUCUGCCUGCAUAAGUACAUAUGCUAAAUGGGAAUUAAUUUGCGUUCAGUUGUUCUUCUUGGCUUUGUUUGCAUGGAAAAUGUCAUUCCUGGGUGAUUUUCUUGGGGCUAGAAAUUUUUACUUUUUAGUGCAGUUUGCAUGGAUGAGAAAUGCUUUAUUAUGAUUAUUAAUAGUAGUUUCAUAUUUGUUUAUUAUAGAGAAUAGUUUGAAUAAUCUUAUUGCGGGGUGUAGAUUUGGUUUUUCCUGUUGCUGCAGAAAAUAAUUCAGUUGGGUUAUUUUUUACUUUUUGGGAGCUGAACGUGUAUAGAAAUCUGUAGGUUAAUAUGUACUAUGAAUAAUGAUAGGGAACAUGGAGUGAUAAUCACCCCCCUAGCGUUUGAAAGAACUAUUUUCCAUGUGUUUUUAUGAAAGGAAUUAGUCAUUCAUUGUCUUCAUUUGAUUACUCUCAUGCCUGUAUUGCAUGUCCAUUAUGAAUGUGUUCUUUCAGCUCAUUACUCAUAUUGAGUUGUGCUUAUUUACUCCUAAAUAGGUCCCUUUUGUUUAUAGAAGUAUCAUAUCAUUUUCC